RNAcentral lists this long non-coding RNA (220 nucleotides) under Ricinus communis (castor bean). Its description in RNAcentral is "long non-coding RNA (RCOM_LNC003438)". Lineage: Eukaryota; Viridiplantae; Streptophyta; Magnoliopsida; Malpighiales; Euphorbiaceae. The record is from RNAcentral.
UCUACGUUAGCGAGGGCGACUCGUGAUUAGCUCGCAUAGUUCUUGAAAGAACCCAUAACUUGAUUUCCCACAAGAUAAGAAAACUGAAAUAGUAUGCUCAUUAGCCUCAAGUAUUCGAUUGCAUGCGGUUUUUAUGGUGCGAGAUCCCUCAUUCCAUAAGAAGAAGAAACUAGAAGCUAGAUACGAACUAAUAAAUAAAGAAAGAUGAAUAAACUAAAGU